RNAcentral lists this ribosomal RNA (484 nucleotides) under uncultured bacterium. RNAcentral's name for it is "partial 16S ribosomal RNA". It matches the Rfam family "Bacterial small subunit ribosomal RNA", at positions 30 to 507 of the family's 1533-position model. The record is from RNAcentral.
AUUGAACGCUGGCGGCAGGCCUAACACAUGCAAGUCGAGCGGAUGAAGGGAGCUUGCUCCUGGAUUCAGCGGCGGACGGGUGAGUAAUGCCUAGGAAUCUGCCUGGUAGUGGGGGAUAACGUCCGGAAACGGGCGCUAAUACCGCAUACGUCCUGAGGGAGAAAGUGGGGGAUCUUCGGACCUCACGCUAUCAGAUGAGCCUAGGUCGGAUUAGCUAGUUGGUGGGGUAAAGGCCUACCAAGGCGACGAUCCGUAACUGGUCUGAGAGGAUGAUCGGUCACACUGGAACUGAGACACGGUCCAGGCUCCUACGGGACGCAGCAGUGGGGAAUGGUGGACAAUGGGCGAAAGCCUGAUCCAGCCAUGCCGCGUGUGUGAAGAAGGUCUUCGGAUUGUAAAGCACUUUAAGUUGGGAGGAAGGGCAGUAAGUUAAUACCUUGCUGUUUUGACGUUACCAACAGAAUAAGCACCGGCUAACUUCGUG